GUUCUUGUAGUUGAAGGUACAACGGUGGCUCUUCAAGCCAUUGGUCCUGGAUAGAAGCCGGGUGAGAAUU
Molecule: transfer RNA, 70 nt
Filed under: Parasudis truculenta (longnose greeneye)
Lineage: Eukaryota; Metazoa; Chordata; Actinopteri; Aulopiformes; Chlorophthalmidae
Description: tRNA-Glu
Rfam family: tRNA
About the family: Transfer RNA (tRNA) molecules are approximately 80 nucleotides in length. Their secondary structure includes four short double-helical elements and three loops (D, anti-codon, and T loops).
Source: RNAcentral